This 608-nucleotide long non-coding RNA is filed under the name Homo sapiens (human). Its description in RNAcentral is "HSALNT0048045". The record is from RNAcentral. Lineage: Eukaryota; Metazoa; Chordata; Mammalia; Primates; Hominidae.
ACAUUUUGAAUGCCAGGCACUGUGAUCUGGAAGAAUAGAACAGUGAACUAAAACACCAUGACCUCUGCCUGAAUAGAACUCCUAAUGUAAGCAGGUAGGGUUCUUCUUAAUGGAGAGAAUUGCUGAUUAAAUUGGUGACAAGAAAUUGCACUUAAAGAUUCAGCAGACAGAGAAUAUAAACACGGGGGAUAAACACAUCUGCCUGCAUCAAUCAAGGACAGCUGCGGUCUACCCCCAGAAAGAGAGUGUCCUCUGAGAUAGCACACCUUUGUUCUGAGUCACAGCUCCAUCUGGAGGGCCCGCCAUGCUCUGGCUAGUCCUCCCCCUCCAAAAGCCUGGACUCAUCUGGAUGGACUUCUGAGGUGAGGACUGCUGCCAGCCAGUCUUAGGUUUCUUCCUCGCCUUCUGGACCAGCAGCACCAGCUCCUGUCUGAAGCAGCUUUUAUCAGUGGUUCUCAAACUCAGAUAUUGAGGAAUUCUGAUGAAGGAAGUGGCACACACUCGGCACAGCUAAGAUGGAGAUGCUAAGACAAGGAUAGAUGCGAUUCACAGAUCGCCCACCAUGUAUUCCAUUCUUAAACUCUCAAGGCCUCUGGGAGAAUCCACAG